UCUGUUGUACCACAUAUUUUAAUAUUAUAAAAUUUGUAUUUACAUUAAAAAGUUCCAGACUAGUAGGAAUCACAAUGAACCUACAGUGAGCACCCCAGCAAGGAAUAUAUUCAAGCUUAUUAGCUUCCAGCUAUUGCUGGAAAAUGGAAAUUUCUAUAAUGAUAUGGAGGCCAACAAAGACUCCAGAGCAUGUCUGGCAGCGCCUCAUAGGGCUAUCCUGCCCACGACUCCCAGUCCACCAGCCGCGCCGGUCCGUCGACUAAUCACAACUCCAACCCGGUCAACCGCAACAGGAGCCACAAGAAGAUGAGAUGGUGCUGGAGAUGAAGGUGAUCGAAGUCAAUGACCACUUAUACACCCGCGAAAUGAUGCGGUGAAAAAAACUAUGGUCUUGUUUUAACAUUAAUGUUAUAACUUUAUUUGCUUAGACUGAUUUGAAAUAUUCUUUAUUGAAAGUGUAGGUAUAUGUAUAAUGUAGGGAGGUUUGUCCUAUUUUUGUUAAAAUAAAAAAUAAAAAAAUUACACGUAAAGUAUAUUUUGUUGAAUUUAGCUAUUUUUAUCAGUACUUCCGUGCCGCGACUAUAUCUCGCAGAUCGUUGGGCAGUGGUCGAACACGUAG
Molecule: long non-coding RNA, 619 nt
Organism: Cydia amplana
Lineage: Eukaryota; Metazoa; Arthropoda; Insecta; Lepidoptera; Tortricidae
Exons: 3
Source: RefSeq, a predicted model, not a curated record